GCGGCAAAAGCUCAAAUUUGAAAUCUGGUACCUUCGGUGCCCGAGUUGUAAUUUGGAGAGGGCAACUUUGGGGCCGUUCCUUGUCUAUGUUCCUUGGAACAGGACGUCAUAGAGGGUGAGAAUCCCGUGUGGCGAGGAGUGCGGUUCUUUGUAAAGUGCCUUCGAAGAGUCGAGUUGUUUGGGAAUGCAGCUCUAAGUGGGUGGUAAAUUCCAUCUAAAGCUAAAUAUUGGCGAGAGACCGAUAGCGAACAAGUACAGUGAUGGAAAGAUGAAAAGAACUUUGAAAAGAGAGUGAAAAAGUACGUGAAAUUGUUGAAAGGGAAGGGCAUUUGAUCAGACAUGGUGUUUUGUGCCCUCUGCUCCUUGUGGGUGGGGGAAUCUCGCAUUUCACUGGGCCAGCAUCAGUUUUGGUGGCAGGAUAAAUCCAUAGGAAUGUAGCUUGCCUCGGUAAGUAUUAUAGCCUGUGGGAAUACUGCCAGCUGGGACUGAGGACUGCGACGUAAGUCAAGGAUGCUGGCAUAAUGGUUAUAUGCCGCCCGUCUU
This 543-nucleotide ribosomal RNA is filed under the name Saccharomyces cerevisiae (brewer's yeast). RNAcentral describes it as "partial large subunit ribosomal RNA". It matches the Rfam family "Eukaryotic large subunit ribosomal RNA", at positions 98 to 655 of the family's 3401-position model. The record is from RNAcentral. Lineage: Eukaryota; Fungi; Ascomycota; Saccharomycetes; Saccharomycetales; Saccharomycetaceae.